This 10021-nucleotide long non-coding RNA is filed under the name Trifolium pratense (red clover). Its description in RNAcentral is "long non-coding RNA (TPRA_LNC001072)". The record is from RNAcentral. Lineage: Eukaryota; Viridiplantae; Streptophyta; Magnoliopsida; Fabales; Fabaceae.
UGAGCAAAACACAAAGAACAAAUUUGUCAAAAUAGUCUCUAAUAAUAGGACCAAAUAAUUAUCCUUAAAAGAACAAAUUUGUCUGACAUUUGAUAUUUUGGAGGAUCAAAUUGGUAUUUUGUAUUUCUUAGGGAUCAAAUAAGUGUCCGUGUUUUUUUUUAUCGAGGAUCAGUUUAGACAUUUACUCUUUAAAACCUUAUUUUAUACUGAAUGACCAUUAGAACCGAUGAAAUUAAAGAUAUACCUGAUUUAGUAAUAUUUCCUUGGAUUGAGAAGUCAGUGAUUCACAAUUUAUUGCAUGAAGAUAUUUUAUGUUUGGUGGCAGGCCUCUGAUUUCUCGAAGCUCCAUACAAUUAUUCAUAGUAAGUUGCUUCAAAGAAUGACAUUCAUUGAUGCAUGAAGGAAGGAUUGUGAUGGUGCUGUAAUCAAGGGAUAUAGAAGUGUAGCAAGAAAUUCAUAUGGCAAAUAGCAAAAGCUCAAGUCAACAUAUCUGGGAACCAAACGAGAACUAGCAUUUAUCACAUCUGAAGACAGUGUUUCUGGCAGCACUUGACCUUUUCCCUUCGUAAUUUGUGCAAGCCCCUUGCAACAGUAAGCCUCCAAAGUAUCAAGUUUUGGCAACAUAAAAAUACUACUUGGUAAUUCAAGUAGCUUAUUGCAUCUGUCUAUAGUCAGCUUUUCAAGCCCCACAAGAAGUCCAAUGGAGAAGGGCAAAUCACAUAUCCCACUAUCACUCAAAACAAGGUAUGUUAUGUUUUUCAUCUUCCCUAGAAUUUCUGGAAAAUUCUCAAGAGAUGUACAAUUCCUAAGGGACAUGGUUUUAAGUGAAGGUAAGUUGAUACCACGGGGAAGAAUCUUGAGACCAGUGCAACGAUUAAGAUUCAAAUCUUCAAGUUUUCCAAGGAACCCAACGGAAUCAUGAACUUCAACCAAAUUCUUGCAGGAAUCAAGAUGCAGUUUCUUCAAAUUCGGAGCACCAGACAUGUCAGGUACUUGCUUUAAAGAUUGACACUUGCUUAACUUCAUUUCCUUCAAAGAUUUAAAUUUCUAAAAAAAUGCAAACAAUAACUAUUUUAUGAAUUUUUAGUAGCUAGGUCUUAUUAUUAAAACAUAGAAAACAAAAAAAAUAAAAUACCAUGAUCAUUUGGUUGCUGAAUGUAAAAAGGCCCAUAGACAAGUCAAGCAUGACAAGUUUCUUUGGAUUAUAAUGAGCCGGCAACGACGAUUCAGGAUAAUCACACCAUUUCAGAACUCUUAAACUUUUUGGGAGAUGAUUAGGUCCUCUGGAAAAGCGAGCUUUUUCUAUUACCAGUAUUUUGAGGUUUUCCAUAUUCAUAAAUGCAUUUCCAUCCCACUGGACUUCUUUAUCUUUGAGUAGGUUUAGCACAAUGACCUCAGUUUUAUCAGACCCCUUCAAACCAAAAACACUAAAUAAUAUACACACCUCUGAUUAUACAACAUAGUAAUAUGACCUAAUAAAUGAUUUUAAGUGGUGGCAAUUCUCACGCCACCCCAUGAGCUAGAUUUUCAGGUUGAGUUAAGCUCAAACCCAUUCUAAGAUGAUAUUGGAGCCUAUCCAAGUUGAAGUCGGCCACCUGCAGAUGCAAAUGACAAACUUGGGCGUGGAGUUGGUUCUAACUUCACCCCAUGAACAAACUUUUGGGAUUGAGUUAGAGACCCGUAUUCAUAUUCUAAGAGUCAACAAAAUAUGAAAAUAUACAGGAUUAAAAAUCAGAUUGGUUUUCUCAAAAAAGUAAAAAAGAAUAAGGUUCCUAGAGCAAUAAUCCCUUCACGUACCUUGUUCUCUUUGAAAACAUGAAGUAUAUCUUUGGAGAACCAUAAUCUACUGCGUUCACCUGGCUUUGAGGGUGAUUCCAGUCUCACAAUUUCUCUACCCAUAUCUUCAAUCAUGUCAUGCAUCCUCACACUAUAUUCAUCAAUUUUUAUUAGACUCUUAUCAAUCAACACCUGGAUAGCAUAGUCUGGGGCGAAGCCACGACCACUACAAAGUAUGUUCAUGACAUCAGUUAGUUUGUAUCCUUUGAAGAAGCAAGCGAUGUCUAAAAAGAUUUCCUUCUCAAAUUCUUUUAAGCCAUCAUAACUUACUCGUAGGAUUUCCUGAAUAUUAUCAUGAGGAAUUCUCUCAUAAGUAUCUAUAGCAGAUUUCCAUUCUAAUAUUGUUCUACCAUAUAAGUCAGAACCUAUUAUUUCAACAGCCAAUGGAAGACCAUUAAAAUAAAGUACUACUUUCUUUGAAAUGUCCAAAUGACUAGGAUCAACUUCUUUUGAUUUAAAAGCAUUCCAAACAAACAAUUCAAGGGCUUCUUCACAAUUCAAUCCUUCUACUUCAUAGACUCUUUUAACACCAUAAACAUGCAACAAAUGCUUAUCCCUUGUUGUUAUAAUAACUCUGCUGCCAGAACCAAACCAAUCAAGUCCACCAGCAAGUGCUUUUAGUUGCUCCAGACUGUUAACAUCAUCCAAAAUCAAUAGAAUUUUUUUCCCACGAAGCCUACUUUUGAUUAUAGGAAUUCCUUUAUUUAAACUGCACAACUUAAGAUCUUUCUCUCCAGCUAAUUCAAAAAGAAGCAUCUCCUGUAGUUGUACCAAACCACGCUUCAUAGAAUUUUCUCUAAUAUCACCAAGAAAACAGAGACUAUCAAAUUGGUCAGCAAUGCAAUUGUAUAUAGCACAUGCAAGUGUUGUUUUACCUAAUCCACCCAUUCCGUAAAUCCCUACCAUUUGAGCCCCCUCAUCUGAUUCAACUUCUAGAAGUGAGUUCAAUUUUUGUACUCGAGACUCUAACCCAACAGGGUAUUUAGCCACAUGUAAAGGUCUACGAUUAAUCUUUUUAGAGACCUCUUGAAUGAUCUUGCCAAUGAACUUAUACUCGUACCUGGUCAAUUGCCAAAUUUAAAUUUUAAAUCAAGUUGAUAUCAUAGUAAAUUAGUAAUGAACAUUGCAUCCACUAAAUUAUUUAUGAUAGAGAAAUUUAAUAAGUGAAAAAUAUGGAUGAGUCACGCACCCGUGUUUGAAAUGCGAACCUACCAAAUUUGCUGCUUCUUGCAAAGCUAACUUCCACUGUUUGACCUUCUCUGUGUCAAAGGUUUUUCUUUCACAUUUGGCAAGUGCUUCUGCAUAACUCCCUUUCAGAUGGCGCACAUCAGAAGGGUCAACUUUAUAAAAANNNNNNNNNNNNNNNNNNNNNNNNNNNNNNNNNNNNNNNNNNNNNNNNNNNNNNNNNGUUCUUCCAAGCAGAAAGUGGAUGAUGCAUAGUUUUCUGAAAAAAUCACAACUGCAAUCCUUGAUUGUUGGAUUGCCAUCAUGAGAGCUGGUGUGAUUUCUUCUCCUUUUCUAAGUUCUUCAUCAUCUAUGAAAGUGUUGAUUCCUUUUCCAACAAGAGCAUUAUAAAGGUUUCCGGUAAAACCCAUGCGAGUAUCCUCCCCUCGAAAACUGAGAAAAACAUCAUAAGCCCAUCCAUAAGUGAUGGAAGAAGAGGAUGAGGAUUUUAAUUUUCUCAUGGUAGCCAUAGCAUUGAUUCUUGAGAUGAGAAGGAAAGAUAUGUUGUAGCCGCUUCAUGAAUCAUGGAGAGAGACCAGAUAUAUAUGAUAUUUAGAAACCUGGUUGAUCAGCAAUGAGGUCAUACAAUUGCAAUGCCUUAAAGACCGUUUCCUUGUCCACCUAGUGAGUUGACUUUUGUUUUUUUAAUAACAUUUGUUAUAACUUUCUAUUUCUUAUAAUACAAGAUAACAUUUUUAAAAAAAGAGUUGUAUGUAUGUUCUAUAUAUGCAUGAUAAAUGCUUAUAAUACGACUUUUUUGAUACGUUCGUGAUCACACUUUGUGAUUGCUUUAUUUUUAAGCUGUCAAUUUAGUUGAUUCUUAAUUAAUUACUUUUUCAUAAGCUCACACAACUUUUUUAUACGUUCGUGAUCACACAAAUUGUAUUUGUAAUGGUGUUAUAAUACAUAUAUUGAAUGGCUAAUGAAUUAGCACUAAUCUAGGAAGUUGUACAAUUAAAUGAAUAUUGGCAGAUUUACUUAAUUCUAACACUCCCGCUCAAGCUAGAUCAUACAUGUCAUAAAUAGAUAAAUGACUGAUUCUUGUUAUGUGUGUAUAGUUAGUGUUAAGAAGUCCCACAUCGGCUGUGAGAUGACCCGAACAAGAGUUUAUAAGUAAGAGACAAUCCUCACCUUACAAGCUGGUUUUGUAAGGAUUAGUUAGGCCCAAUACUCAUUUCUAGGAUGGUAUUAGAGCCUAUCCACGAUUCGUUGGGCCACUUCGUCGGGCCGCCUGCAAUCAGGUUUCUGAUCGGGCCCACCCCUCCACCAUUCAUAUGACUAAGUGUUUAUAAACUAGAGGCAAUCCUCACUUUACAAGCCGGAAGUAUUGGGCCUAACUCAAUCCUACAAAACCAGCUUGUAAAGUGAGAAUUGCCUCUAGUUUAUAAACAGUUAGUCAGACCAUAUCCCAACCGAUGUGGGACUUCUUUAACAGUUAGGAUAGACACACAUACAUAUGUAUGGAUCAAGUGUAGUGAUCCUCUCCUACUUCUGCAGCACACCCAGCUAGAGGCCGAUUGUUGGAUUAAUCAAAUAACUGAGAGAUGAAUUUUCUUAGUCAUUAGAUUAAUCAAAUGGUUAACCUCAGCUAAACGGUUUAAUCCCUGGAUUUGCUAAAACUAAAGGUGGAAAUAAGCUUUCUUAGACCUAAGCCCGGCAUAUUGCCACGUAUAUCUUAUCAGACUUUCUUAAGGUAUCAUUUGACUUUUUUAAAAGUUUGGUUGGAUGGAAAGGUCAUUUAAGUUCAUAUUGUUGCUACAAUAAGGCCAAAAGACAUUUAAAUCUAUGUAACAAGGCAUUUAAAUAAGUCAUAAAGUUAUUACUAAUUAAUUUAUAAACUCAACUAAAUAUGUAAUAUAACAUGUUUAAAUCUUUACAACAUAUAUAACAUUAUAAUAACUCAACUCUAUAUAUAAUAAGUCUCAAACUACCAUAGUUGGUGGUCUAGUCCUUUAUUAUGUUUGGGCCUUGUAUGAUUGUUUGUAUCUCUCUUUGUGACUCUUUGUAAACUUUGGUAGUCUAUCUUGGCACAUCUUGUGCUGAGGAGGCUUUUUUGUUAAUAUAUAUCAUUUUGGCUUGUUCAAAAAAAGAGAUAACAUUAUAAUAAAAAUCUAAUAUAAUGAUGAUAUUAACAAUGAUACAUACUAUUAUAUUAUUUAUAUAGUUAUAUUUAUAUAAGUGUUUUUACAUAAAAUAUUUAUUUAUAAGGUAGAGAUACAUGAAGGGACACUUUCUUUUUUAUAAAGUAAAAAGACACUUUUAAGUGCUAAAAUGUUUAAACAGAAAGCAGAGGAAAUCAUACAUUCAUUGACUUUUAAGGAAAUCAUACAUUCAUUGACUUUUAAGUGGUUUAUAAACACACUACAAAGCAUUAUCAACAUUCGUAAUCUUCUAUCCACUCCUCUAUCUUAAAUCAUACCUGAUCAUGAUGAGAGUAGCUACUACUAGCUAUAUCUUGUAACUUUUUUUGCAAUCUGUUAUCCCUACAGGUGACCAUUUUCUUUUCUUUUCCUAUUGCAAAGCUAACCUCCACUGUUUCACCUUCUCCUUGUCAAUGGUUUUUUUUCUUUCAUAAUUGGCCAGUGCUUUUGCAUAGCUACUUUUCUGAUGGCGGACAUUAGAAGGGUCAACUUGAUAAAAAUCUGGCCAAACCAUCCUGCCCUUGUGUUUUAUGCACUCCAUGAUCUUUGUAAGCUCUUCCAAACAAAAAGUGGAUGAUGCAUAGUUUUCUGAAAAAAUCACAAUUGCAAUUCUUGAUUGUUGGAUUGCCAUCAUGAGAGCUGGUGUGAUUUCUUCUCCUUUCCUAAGUUCUUGAUCAUCUAUGAAUGUGUUGAUUCCUUUUCCACAAAGAGCAUUAUAAAGGUUCCUGGUAAAACCAUUACGAGUAUCCUCUCCUUGAAAACUGAGGAAAACAUCAUAAACCCAUUCAUAGGUGAAGGAAGAUGAAGCCCCAAAGUUUAACUCUUUCAUCAUAGACAUAACAAUGACUCUUGAGAGGGAAAAAGAUGUAGCAACUAGAUAAAAUAUGUAUAUGAUAUGUAGGAAUUUGGUUGAGCUACAAUGGAAUCUGUGUAUCAGACAAUUGCAUUGCCUUAAAUACCAUUUCCUUUCUUACGCAGUUUGAUAUAUGUUUUCUAUUUCUAUAAUACAAGAUACCAUUUUUUUCUUUCUAAAUAAGAGAUAGAUAAACACAUUCUUAAUUACACUUGAGAUUGACUAUAUUUUUACCAACUCUAAUGAGUUGGUUCAUAGAGAGUGGAUCAAUUAUAUAAAUCUAGUUUAGCAUUAUCUUUAGAAAAGUUUGAGGCCGGCCUUCCUUGUAUAUUUAAUACUACAGCAGCUAUCUUGAUGAAAUUUCAAUAUAACUUUCAUUAAAUUUUGUUAUGUUUAGUUAAACUUUUUAAAUUUCGUGACUGUAUAGGUAAGAUUUGUAGGUUUGUAGAGUAAGUUUUUCGUUUAACUUCUAAUAAAUGCGUUUUUCGUAAAAUGUGACAAAUAUAUGAGACAAAACUUUUCACAUAACUGACGUCUUACACAUUUUUUAAUACUAGAUUAGAUAAUAUUUUUUUAUCACAAGGUGAUAUUUUAUAUAUUUAUUAUAUUUCUGCAACUAUUUAAUUUGAAACUUAAUAAAAAAAUUUACCAUAAAAUUUUACAGUCUUUUGAUUGAAAAUUUUAAUAAAUUUCCUGAGAAAAAAAUGCAGGUAUAUGGUUACAAUUAGCUUGAACUUUUUUUUGAUUAAGAGCUUGAAUUUUUAGCACAUAGUGAAUAUAUCUAAUGCAGUUAGACAUUACAGAGAAGGAAUAAUAUAUUUCUUAAUUGCAGCAAACUUGUUUUAAAGCAUGCCAAAUAAAUCAUGACCAUACUUAAGAUCAAUCAGGCCAACAUGUGAAACCAAAAUAUAAACAAAGCUUUUAUUUGUGAAGAAAAACAUGUUAUAGCAAAAAUAGUAAAUUACAUAAUAAGCUAGUUACUUUAUUUAUAUAUACAGUGCAGCAACUUGUCAUGAGGAGGAAGUAUCUCCUUCACAAGAGGAUAUUCCUUCAUGGAAUUUAGCCACAUGAAACAUUUCGGCGUGUUACAGGCCUUGUAAAAUGCUUCGUAGAUGCAACAAGUUGCGGCGAGCACAAUGUCAAGGAGUUCCAAUGUUUCGCUGUUGAAGAAUCAGAACUUCUCAUCAAAACCUUUCUUGACCCCUUCUUCAAACACACACCCAAGUAUCUCAACCAUGCCUCCAAUAGCUUCCUUUCUAUCUUCCCCUUUUAAUUGGAGAACGCGGUAGGAACUAGGAAUGAUCUAACUGAACAUUGUCAAAGUUAACAUGUUAUUGUUAUUAUAUUUAAAAAGUUAAAAAUUAAAACUACAUGGGUAAGUACUAACAUUGGUGCAUGCAAGACGAUUAUUUUGAUAUCUCAAUUAUUUUGUACUAACAUUGAUAUCUAACUGUUAAGGAGAAAAGCAAUCAAAUAACCAGGAAGAUAUUUUUUUUUACAGAAAUAUUUAUCCAGUUAGAGAUAUGUAAAAGGAUAAUUUUUUUGAUAGGAUAUAUUGCACUUUUAAAUAAAUGCAAGAAAAUUUAAACUAGAAAACAGAGGAAAUCAUACAUUCAUUAGUUUUUUACAGGUCUACAAAUACCAUAAAACAGAAUCAAUGUUCACGAGCUUCUGUUCACUCAUCUAUCUUAAACCAUACCUGAUGAGAGUAGCUACCGCCUAGACCUUGCGAUAUUAUUGGGUUAUCUUUUAUUUCCACGCGUGACAUUUUUCUUUUCUUUUCCUUCUAUUGCAACCUUAGGAUUGAUAAUUUGAAUAUCUGCCAUGCUUGUUUUUUGUUCCUGUACAUGAAGUUUCAUCCAUUUCAUAUCUUGUCCACAGUUUUUUACUAAUGAAAUCUCAGCAUGGUUCCAUCCAUUCUUAAUACGUAGUUUUCCAAUCAUAUCAAGACUAGCUUUGAGCUGCAGAUCCAGCAGAAUUAUAUGAUUUAAAUUUGUAUCAAUUGCAUUAGUUUUAGACCAACUAACAUGGAGAAAGUUCGUGAGCCGUUUACUGCCAUUAAUGAUCAGGUCAAAGUCACACUUCAGACAACAUAUUGAACAAUAACAACCACCUGCAAUUACCGCAACACUAAGAGCCAUCGGUGGCAAUUUGUUUCGGAACUUGAAGGACAUAGACAGUGCCUGUCUAUUUUGAUGGAACCAGCUUGGGAUAGUUGAUCCUGGAAAACAGAUAUAUUUGGCCCCAGAAUUCGGAAGUAUCUGUCGAUCAAAUAUAAUUAAAAAGUUUGAAUUAAACCUGUUGGAUUAUGGAAUACAUUUAUUUUAAUUUUAAAGGAAAAACUAUUGAUGAUGUUAAAGAUAUGAUACCUUAUUCAGUAACAUUUUCUUGGAUUGGGAAGUCAAUGAUGUACAAUUUAUUGCACUAAAAUGUUUUAUGUUUGGUGGCAGGUCUCUGAUUUCUUGAAGCUCUGUACAAUUAUUCAAAGUAAGUUCCUUCAAAGAGUGGCAGGCAGUGAUGCAUGAUGGAAGGAUUGUGAUACUGCUGUAAUCAAGGGAUAAAUAUGUGACACAGUGAAAGCAAGGAAGAAGUGCAACGAGAAAUUCAUCUGAUAGAUGGCAAAAGCUGAAGUCAACAACACUUCUCACACCUGAAGACGUUUCCUGCAAUUGACCUUUUCCCUUCUUGAUUCGCACAAGCCCCUUGCAACUGUAAGCCUCCAAGGUCUCAAGUUUUGGCAACAUAAAAAUACUACUUGGUAGUUCAAGUAGCUUGCUGCAUCUGUCUAUAGACAGGUUUGCAAGCCCCACAAGACGUCCCAUGGAAAAAGGCAAUUCACUUAUUCCACUAUCACUCAAAACAAGGUAUGUUAUGUUUUCCAUCUUCCCUAGAAUUUCUGGAAAAUUCUUAAGAGAUGUACAAUUCCUAAGGGACAUGGUUUUAAGUGAAGGUAAGUUGAUGCCACGGGGAAGAAUCUUGAGCCCAGUGCAACGAUUAAGAUUCAAAUCUUCAAGUUUUCCAAGGAACCCAACAGAAUCAUGAACUUCAACCAAAUUCUUGCAGGAAUCAAGAUGCAGUUUCUUCAAAUUUGGAGCUCCAGACAUGUCAGGUACUUGCUUUAAGGAUUGACAACUGCUUAACUUCAUUUCCGUCAAAGAUUUAAAUUUCUGAAAAAUGAAAUCAAUAACUAUUUUAUGACUUUUUAAGUAGCUUUAUCUUAUUAUUUAAACUCAGAAAACAUAUAAAAUAUCAAUACCAUGAUUUUUUGAUUGCCGAAUGUAAAAAGGCCCAUAGACAUGUCAAGUAUGACAAGUGUUUUUGGAUCAUAAUGAGCCGGCAAUGACGAUUCAGGAUAAUCACACCAUGUUAGCACUUUUAAACUUUUUGGGAAAUGAUUAGGUCCUUUGGAAAAGUGAGCUUUUUCUAUUACCAGUAUUUUGAGGUUUUCCAUAUUCUUCAAUGCAUUUCCAUCCCAUUGGACUUCUUUAUCUUUGAGUAGACGUAGCAUGAUGAUCUCAGUUUUAUCAGAUCCCUUCAAACCAAAACACUAAAUAUUAUACACCUCUGAUUAUACAGGAUAUCUUAGCGCUAAUAAAUAUUGUCAAUGGUUUGAAUAACAAUCCCACUUUGGACAAUGAUAUGACCUGAUAAAUGGUUAUAAGUAGUGUCAAUCUUCUCCCCACCCAAGAACUAGAUUUUGAGGUUGAGUUUAGGUCAAAUCUAUUCUAAAAUGAUAGUAGAAUCUAUCCGAGUUGAAGUUGGCCACCCACAGAUGCAGAUGUCAAACUUCACCCUCCUGGCAUCUAAUGUUAUGCUUGGGGGAUGUGUUGAACAAUGGUUAUAAGUGGAGCCCAACCUCAAUUCAUGAGCAAACUUUUGGGUUUGAGUUAGAGGCCAAUUCAAAUUCUAAGAGUCAUCAAACAAUGGAGAUAUGCUAGAUUAUAAGUCAGAUGUGUUUUCUCAAAAA